RNAcentral lists this ribosomal RNA (253 nucleotides) under uncultured bacterium. RNAcentral describes it as "partial 16S ribosomal RNA". It matches the Rfam family "Bacterial small subunit ribosomal RNA", at positions 524 to 776 of the family's 1533-position model. The record is from RNAcentral.
GACGGAGUGAGAGAGCGUUGUUCGGAAUUACUGGGCGUAAAGCGCACGUAGGCGGCUACAAAAGUCAGAGGUGAAAGCCCGGGGCUAAACCCCGGAACUGCCUUUGAAACUAGGUGGCUAGAAUCUUGGAGAGGUCAGUGUAAUUCCGAGUGUAGAGGUGAAAUUCGUAGAUAUUCGGAAGAACACCAGUGGCGAAGGCGACUGACUGGACAAGUAUUGACGCUGAGGUGCGAAAGCGUGGGGAGCAUACAGG